RNAcentral lists this ribosomal RNA (435 nucleotides) under uncultured bacterium. Its description in RNAcentral is "partial 16S ribosomal RNA". It matches the Rfam family "Bacterial small subunit ribosomal RNA", at positions 28 to 507 of the family's 1533-position model. The record is from RNAcentral.
GAUGAACGCUGGCGGUAUGCUUAACACAUGCAGGUCGAACGGACUCUUCGGAGUUAGUGGCGGACGGGUGAGUAACGCGUGAGAAUCUGGCUUUGGGUUCGGGACAACCACUGGAAACGGUGGCUAAUACCGGAUGUGCCGAGAGGUAAAAGAGAAAUUGCCUGAAGAUGAGCUCGCGUCUGAUUAGCUAGUUGGUGAGGUAAAGGCUCACCAAGGCAGCGAUCAGUAGCUGGUCUGAGAGGAUGACCAGCCACACUGGGACUGAGACACGGCCCAGACUCCUACGGGAGGCAGCAGUGGGGAAUUUUCCGCAAUGGGCGAAAGCCUGACGGAGCAAUACCGCGUGAGGGAAGAAGGCUCUUGGGUUGUAAACCUCUUUUCUUAGGGAAGAACAAAAUGACGGUACCUAAGGAAUCAGCAUCGGCUAACUCCGUG